Molecule: ribosomal RNA, 200 nt
Filed under: uncultured bacterium
Lineage: Bacteria
Description: partial 16S ribosomal RNA
Rfam family: Bacterial small subunit ribosomal RNA
Source: RNAcentral
AUUGAACGCUGGCGGCAGGCCUAACACAUGCAAGUCGAGCGCGAAAGUUCUUCGGAAUGAGUAAAGCGGCGGACGGGUGAGUAAUACAUGGGAAUCUGCCUGUAGGUGGGGGACAACGUUUCGAAAGGAACGCUAAUACCGCAUACGCCCUACGGGGGAAAGGGGGGAUCUUCGGACCUCUCGCUAUCAGAUGAGCCCAU